RNAcentral lists this transfer RNA (75 nucleotides) under Candidatus Micrarchaeota archaeon CG_4_10_14_0_2_um_filter_55_9. RNAcentral describes it as "tRNA-Glu". It matches the Rfam family "tRNA". From Rfam's summary of the family: Transfer RNA (tRNA) molecules are approximately 80 nucleotides in length. Their secondary structure includes four short double-helical elements and three loops (D, anti-codon, and T loops). Further hydrogen bonds mediate the characteristic L-shaped molecular structure. tRNAs have two regions of fundamental functional importance: the anti-codon, which is responsible for specific mRNA codon recognition, and the 3' end, to which the tRNAs corresponding amino acid is attached (by aminoacyl-tRNA synthetases). tRNAs cope with the degeneracy of the genetic code in two manners: having more than one tRNA (with a specific anti-codon) for a particular amino acid; and 'wobble' base-pairing, i.e. permitting non-standard base-pairing at the 3rd anti-codon position. RNAcentral also lists the same sequence under 2 other names. The record is from RNAcentral. Lineage: Archaea; Nanobdellati; Microcaldota.
GCUCCGAUCGUCUAGUUCGGUCAAGGACACUGGCCUUUCAAGCCAGCGACCCGGGUUCAAAUCCCGGCCGGAGCA